Molecule: ribosomal RNA, 502 nt
Filed under: Escherichia coli
Lineage: Bacteria; Pseudomonadati; Pseudomonadota; Gammaproteobacteria; Enterobacterales; Enterobacteriaceae
Description: partial 23S ribosomal RNA
Rfam family: Bacterial large subunit ribosomal RNA
Source: RNAcentral
CAUAGGUUAAUGAGGCGAACCGGGGGAACUGAAACAUCUAAGUACCCCGAGGAAAAGAAAUCAACCGAGAUUCCCCCAGUAGCGGCGAGCGAACGGGGAGCAGCCCAGAGCCUGAAUCAGUGUGUGUGUUAGUGGAAGCGUCUGGAAAGGCGCGCGAUACAGGGUGACAGCCCCGUACACAAAAAUGCACAUGCUGUGAGCUCGAUGAGUAGGGCGGGACACGUGGUAUCCUGUCUGAAUAUGGGGGGACCAUCCUCCAAGGCUAAAUACUCCUGACUGACCGAUAGUGAACCAGUACCGUGAGGGAAAGGCGAAAAGAACCCCGGCGAGGGGAGUGAAAAAGAACCUGAAACCGUGUACGUACAAGCAGUGGGAGCACGCUUAGGCGUGUGACUGCGUACCUUUUGUAUAAUGGGUCAGCGACUUAUAUUCUGUAGCAAGGUUAACCGAAUAGGGGAGCCGAAGGGAAACCGAGUCUUAACUGGGCGUUAAGUUGCAGGGU